CUUGGUUUUAGAGGAAGGAGAAGUCGUAACAAGGUAUCCGUAGGUGAACCUGCGGAUGGAUCAUUAACACUCUAUACAUCAUCAAAUAACUUUGCGAAUUUGUUAAAGUCUUUCUCACACAGUGAACAAAACAUACGCAUCUUAUGUUGUGAUAUGGUUUUGUGUAGCUGAUGUUGUGAUGACAACACAAAUGCUAACCAAAAUAAAAAUUAAAUAUAAAUUAACCAAGACAUACAACUUUUAACAAUGGAUAUCUUGGCUCUU
Molecule: unclassified non-coding RNA, 264 nt
Filed under: fungal sp.
Lineage: Eukaryota; Fungi
Description: partial internal transcribed spacer region
Rfam family: Eukaryotic small subunit ribosomal RNA (bases 1-66)
Source: RNAcentral